CUACGGGGCGCAGCAGUGGGGAAUAUUGGACAAUGGGGGAAACCCUGAUCCAGCAAUGCCGCGUGUGUGAAGAAGGCCUGCGGGUUGUAAAGCACUUUCGGUUGGGAGGACUGCUUCUAGCACUAAUAUUGUUGGAAGUUGACGUUACCUUCAGAAGAAGCACCGGCUAACUCCGUGCUAGCAGCCGCGGUAAUACGGAGGGUGCAAGCGUUAAUCGGAAUUACUGGGCGUAAAGCGCGCGUAGGCGGCUAGAUCAGUCGGGUGUGAAAGCCCCGGGCUUAACCUGGGAACUGCAUCCGAUACUGUCUAGCUUGAGUACAGGAGAGGAGAGUGGAAUUCCACAUGUAGCGGUGAAAUGCGUAGAUAUGUGGAGGAACACCAAUGGCGAAGGCAGCUCUCUGGCCUGAUACUGACGCUGAGGUGCGGAAGCGUGGGGAGCAAACAGGAUUAGAUACCCGGGUAGUC
RNAcentral lists this ribosomal RNA (465 nucleotides) under uncultured bacterium. RNAcentral's name for it is "partial 16S ribosomal RNA". It matches the Rfam family "Bacterial small subunit ribosomal RNA", at positions 339 to 795 of the family's 1533-position model. The record is from RNAcentral.